GACGAACGCUGGCGGCGUGCUUAACACAUGCAAGUCGAACGGAAAGGCCCUGCUUUUGUGGGGUGCUCGAGUGGCGUACGGGUGAGUAACACGUGAGUAACCUGCCCUUGACUUUGGGAUAGCUUCAGGAAACUGGGGCUAAUACCGGAUAGGAGCUCCUGCUGCAUGGUGGGGGUUGGAAAGUUUCGGCGGUUGGGGAUGGACUCGCGGCUUAUCAGCUUGUUGGUGGGGUAGUGGCUUACCAAGGCUUUGACGGGUAGCCGGCCUGAGAGGGUGACCGGCCACAUUGGGACUGAGAUACGGCCCAGACUCCUACGGGAGGCAGCAGUGGGGAAUAUUGCACAAUGGGCGGAAGCCUGAUGCAGCAACGCCGCGUGCGGGAUGACGGCCUUCGGGUUGUAAACCGCUUUCGCCUGUGACGAAGCGUGAGUGACGGUAAUGGGUAAAGAAGCACCGGCUAACUACGUG
This 468-nucleotide ribosomal RNA is filed under the name uncultured bacterium. Its description in RNAcentral is "partial 16S ribosomal RNA". It matches the Rfam family "Bacterial small subunit ribosomal RNA", at positions 28 to 507 of the family's 1533-position model. The record is from RNAcentral.